UACGUAGGGUGCAAGCGUUGUCCGGAAUUAUUGGGCGUAAAGAGCUCGUAGGCGGUUUGUCGCGUCUGCUGUGAAAACCCGAGGCUCAACCUCGGGCCUGCAGUGGGUACGGGCAGACUAGAGUGCGGUAGGGGAGAUUGGAAUUCCUGGUGUAGCGGUGGAAUGCGCAGAUAUCAGGAGGAACACCAAUGGAGAAGGCAGAUCUCUGGGCCGUAACUGACGCUGAGGAGCGAAAGCGUGGGGAGCGAACAGG
Molecule: ribosomal RNA, 253 nt
Filed under: uncultured bacterium
Lineage: Bacteria
Description: partial 16S ribosomal RNA
Rfam family: Bacterial small subunit ribosomal RNA
Source: RNAcentral